GGCGGCGUGCCUAAUACAUGCAAGUCGAGCGGACAGAUGGGAGCUUGCUCCCUGAUGUUAGCGGCGGACGGGUGAGUAACACGUGGGUAACCUGCCUGUAAGACUGGGAUAACUCCGGGAAACCGGGGCUAAUACCGGAUGGUUGUUUGAACCGCAUGGUUCAGACAUAAAAGGUGGCUUCGGCUACCACUUACAGAUGGACCCGCGGCGCAUUAGCUAGUUGGUGAGGUAACGGCUCACCAAGGCGACGAUGCGUAGCCGACCUGAGAGGGUGAUCGGCCACACUGGGACUGAGACACGGCCCAGRCUCCUACGGGAGGCAGCAGUAGGGAAUCUUCCGCRAUGGACGAAAGUCUGACGGAGCAACGCCGCGUGAGUGAUGAAGGUUUUCGGAUCGUAAAGCUCUGUUGUUAGGGAAGAACAAGYGCCGUUCAAAAUAGGGCGGCACCUUGACGGUACCUAACCAGAAAGCCACGGCUAACUACGYGCCAGCAGCCGCGGUAAUACGUAGGYGGCAAGCGUUGUCCGGAAUYAUUGGGCGUAAAGGGCUCGCAGGCGGUUUCUUAAGYCUGAUGUGAAAGCCCCCGGCUCAACCGGGGAGGGUCAUUGGAAACUGGGGAACUUGAGUGCAGAAGAGGAGAGUGGAAUUCCACGUGUAGCGGUGAAAUGCGUAGAGAUGUGGAGGAACACCAGUGGCGAAGGCGACUCUCUGGUCUGUAACUGACGCUGAGGAGCGAAAGCGUGGGGAGCGAACAGGAUUAGAUACCCUGGUAGUCCACGCCGUAAACGAUGRARUGCUAAGUGUUAGGGGGUUUCCGCCCCUUAGUGCUGCAGCUAACGCAUUAAGCACUCCGCCUGGGGAGUACGGUCGCAAGACUGAAACUCAAAGGAAUUGACGGGGGCCCGCACAAGCGGUGGAGCAUGUGGUUUAAUUCGAAGCAACGCGAAGAACCUUACCAGGUCUUGACAUCCUCUGACAAUCCUAGAGAUAGGACGUCCCCUUCGGGGGCAGAGUGACAGGUGGUGCAUGGUUGUCGUCAGCUCGUGUCGUGAGAUGUUGGGUUAAGUCCCGCAACGAGCGCAACCCUUGAUCUUAGUUGCCAGCAUUCAGUUGGGCACUCUAAGGUGACUGCCGGUGACAAACCGGAGGAAGGUGGGGAUGACGUCAAAUCAUCAUGCCCCUUAUGACCUGGGCUACACACGUGCUACAAUGGACAGAACAAAGGGCAGCGARACCGCGAGGUUAAGCCAAUCCCACAAAUCUGUUCUCAGUUCGGAUCGCAGUCUGCAACUCGACUGCGUGAAGCUGGAAUCGCUAGUAAUCGCGGAUCAGCAUGCCGCGGUGAAUACGUUCCCGGGCCUUGUACACACCGCCCGUCACACCACGAGAGUUUGUAACACCCGAAGUCGGUGAGGUAACCUUUWAGGAGCCAGCCGCCGAARGUGGGACAGAUGAUUGGGGUGAAGUCGUAACAAG
This 1477-nucleotide ribosomal RNA is filed under the name Bacillus sp. AB263f. Its description in RNAcentral is "bacterial SSU rRNA". It matches the Rfam family "Bacterial small subunit ribosomal RNA". Lineage: Bacteria; Bacillati; Bacillota; Bacilli; Caryophanales; Bacillaceae. The record is from RNAcentral.